Molecule: microRNA precursor, 99 nt
Filed under: Marmota monax (woodchuck)
Lineage: Eukaryota; Metazoa; Chordata; Mammalia; Rodentia; Sciuridae
Source: RNAcentral
UGUGACAUUACUGAGUCACAUGGUAAAUAUUUGCUUAAGUUUAUAAGAAAUGUACAGUUUUCCAAAGUGGCUGUACCAUUUUGCAUUUCUACUAGCAAU